Molecule: ribosomal RNA, 396 nt
Filed under: uncultured beta proteobacterium
Lineage: Bacteria; Pseudomonadati; Pseudomonadota; Betaproteobacteria
Description: bacterial SSU rRNA
Rfam family: Bacterial small subunit ribosomal RNA
Source: RNAcentral
GCUCUUUUGUCAGGGAAGAAACGGUGGUCUCUAAUAUAGACUGCUAAUGACGGUACCUGAAGAAUAAGCACCGGCUAACUACGUGCCAGCAGCCGCGGUAAUACGUAGGGUGCAAGCGUUAAUCGGAAUUACUGGGCGUAAAGCGUGCGCAGGCGGUUAUAUAAGUCAGAUGUGAAAUCCCCGGGCUCAACCUGGGAACUGCAUUUGAGACUGUAUGGCUAGAGUGUGUCAGAGGGGGGUAGAAUUCCACGUGUAGCAGUGAAAUGCGUAGAUAUGUGGAGGAAUACCGAUGGCGAAGGCAGCCCCCUGGGAUAACACUGACGCUCAUGCACGAAAGCGUGGGGAGCAAACAGGAUUAGAUACCCUGGUAGUCCACGCCCUAAACGAUGUCUACUA